This 600-nucleotide ribosomal RNA is filed under the name bacterium Co.S23. RNAcentral describes it as "bacterial SSU rRNA". It matches the Rfam family "Bacterial small subunit ribosomal RNA", at positions 60 to 648 of the family's 1533-position model. The record is from RNAcentral.
AGUCGAACGGGUAACAGGAAGCAGCUUGCUGCUUCGCUGACGAGUGGCGGACGGGUGAGUAAUGUCUGGGAAACUGCCUGAUGGAGGGGGAUAACUACUGGAAACGGUAGCUAAUACCGCAUAACGUCGCAAGACCAAAGAGGGGGACCUUCGGGCCUCUUGCCAUCGGAUGUGCCCAGAUGGGAUUAGCUAGUAGGUGGGGUAACGGCUCACCUAGGCGACGAUCCCUAGCUGGUCUGAGAGGAUGACCAGCCACACUGGAACUGAGACACGGUCCAGACUCCUACGGGAGGCAGCAGUGGGGAAUAUUGCACAAUGGGCGCAAGCCUGAUGCAGCCAUGCCGCGUGUAUGAAGAAGGCCUUCGGGUUGUAAAGUACUUUCAGCGGGGAGGAAGGCGAUAAGGUUAAUAACCUUGUCGAUUGACGUUACCCGCAGAAGAAGCACCGGCUAACUCCGUGCCAGCAGCCGCGGUAAUACGGAGGGUGCAAGCGUUAAUCGGAAUUACUGGGCGUAAAGCGCACGCAGGCGGUCUGUCAAGUCGGAUGUGAAAUCCCCGGGCUCAACCUGGGAACUGCAUUCGAAACUGGCAGGCUAGAGUC